Schistocerca nitens (vagrant locust) is the source of this 1047-nucleotide long non-coding RNA. RefSeq lists it as uncharacterized. Lineage: Eukaryota; Metazoa; Arthropoda; Insecta; Orthoptera; Acrididae. The transcript is spliced from 3 exons. The record is from RefSeq and is a predicted model, not a curated record.
GUUGUGUGAGGCAUAUUCUUCGUUAUUGUUGUAGAUAAUUUCGAGGAGCAGGAGCAGGGAGGGACAGUGCCUGUGAUUCCAUCCACUUCACAGCUAUGGUGUGAUUUUGAAGAACUUGGUCAAUUGCUCCAUGGUGGUUCAGAUGAUGAGAUGCCUGAGUGGGUGGAGAAGAUGGAGAGGGAGCUGCAUUGCCAUGAUAACAUGCUGGAUGACUGGAGGAAUAUUGAAAGGAACCAAAGUGAGAUAGCACCACUGUCAAUGCAGUACACAGUGGAGCGGGAAAUCAUGGGUGGUGAUGAAAUCACCAGUAAGUCACAGUCCUGUGAGGCAUGUGUCACGAGCAAGGGCAUCUCUAGUCGCCUCCUGGAAGCUACCACCACAGAAGCAGCCGCAGCCGCUUCCCCCAUCACCACGCCCACUCCUCAACAGCUCCACUCUGGCAUACAUGGUCAACCCUCCCUCCACCAACUGGCUCAGCAUUGUGCCAACAACCAACUCUGCAGGCUGUGGCUUUUGGAAAGAAUAACAAGAAAUACAUCUAACAUUCCAGAUAUCACUUAUUCUUGCAAGGAAAGAAAGAACACUAGUUAUUCGUAAGCAGAGUUAGUACAUUUAUAAAUUACCUAUCUCGCUCUGGCUCCUUGCAAUAUACCUCAGGUCUACUGCCAUCUCCUCAUGACGAUUCAACUCCCUCUCCAUCUCCUCCAUCCACUUAGGCACCUCCUCAUCUGAAACACCUAGGAUCAAUCGACUGAGAUCUCCAAAAUCACCUACAACAGCAACAUAUUGAUUUAAUGAAAAGUAUACAUCCACAAAACUAAGAAAAAAUUGACGAACGAAUAUGUACUAACACAAUAGCUGUUAUGUGGAUGGCAUCACACCCUCUGUCUCUCCCUCCUCCUGCUCCUCGAAAUCAUCUACAACAAGAGCAAAGGAUAUGCCGCAGACAACAUUAUGUCAUGUAUAUGAUGAAAUUUUUUGAGAAGAAUAUGUGUAAUGGCAACAUAUUAUCUAUGUGCAUAGUGCUAUGAUGAAGAAAAAAAUAUA